Molecule: transfer RNA, 68 nt
Filed under: Remiarctus bertholdii
Lineage: Eukaryota; Metazoa; Arthropoda; Malacostraca; Decapoda; Scyllaridae
Description: tRNA-Trp
Source: RNAcentral
AAGAUCUUAAGUUAUUCAAACUAACAUCCUUCAAAGUUGUAAAAAAAAGACUCUCCUUUUAGAUCUUA